GUACACACAUACACUCCAAAACAAUUUUUAAAUGUUAUUUUUUCACUGUUUGUUGCUUUUGUGUGUGUAUGUGUUGUGAUAUGUGUUUUUUUUUUUUAUUUCACAAUGGUACCUGCAGUGACUGCAGGCCUAGUACCUAUAAUCAAGGGCACGUAUGUGCUACAAACUUAGUGUGUCGCUCGCAACUGUGUUACUUUUGUGAUAUUAUUAAGAUAACUUGAAAUGUCUCCUUUGAAUUAUAGCCGUUCUACAUAAUAAACAAGUCUAGACACGAGUAU
This is a non-coding RNA of Biomphalaria pfeifferi, 278 nucleotides long. Lineage: Eukaryota; Metazoa; Mollusca; Gastropoda; Planorbidae. The record is from the annotation of a GenBank genome assembly.